UUGGAUGUGGGAGAGUCACAACACAAUACAAAUAGUGGUGAGUAUGGCUUCCCUGCGCAAAAAGUCUUUGGACCUGGGAGAGUUUCAACACAAAGGCUAUGAGGCAGAGAAGACACAGCAGAGAAUUUGUCAGAAAGACCUAACAGGGGCCAAAAGCAAGGGGGUGACAGGCGACCAGAUGCCCCAGGCACUUCAGCACAAGCUGCCUCGUGGGGAGGCGGCAGGAAGGUCAAGUGGGCUCAGCUGCAGGUGGCUGCGGGGAUACCUAGAGGCUUCCAAGCAGGGGCAGGACACGCCCGGUAGCAGGGACUCUGAGUCCGGACGGGGAGAUGGCUUCACUUCGGAGGAGCGCUGCGCGGGAAGAGACGUGCACCCCCACCACGGUGACCGACCGGUGACCGAGAGAGUGAGACUGUCCAAAGUCAAGGGAAAACAUGCCACUGGAAG
Molecule: long non-coding RNA, 447 nt
Organism: Sapajus apella (tufted capuchin)
Lineage: Eukaryota; Metazoa; Chordata; Mammalia; Primates; Cebidae
Exons: 3
Source: RefSeq, a predicted model, not a curated record